Unclassified non-coding RNA from Pongo abelii (Sumatran orangutan), 117 nucleotides. It matches the Rfam family "Metazoan signal recognition particle RNA". From Rfam's summary of the family: The signal recognition particle (SRP) is a universally conserved ribonucleoprotein. It is involved in the co-translational targeting of proteins to membranes. NCBI's taxonomy places the organism in Eukaryota, Metazoa, Chordata, Mammalia, Primates, Hominidae. The record is from Ensembl.
GCCGGGUGUGGUGGCUCACACCUGUAAUCCCAGAACUUUGGGAGGCCGAGGCAGGUGGAUCACCUGAGGUCAGGAGUUUGAGACCAGCCUGACCAACAUGGUGAAACCCCGUCUCUA